This 1386-nucleotide ribosomal RNA is filed under the name metagenome. RNAcentral's name for it is "bacterial LSU rRNA". It matches the Rfam family "Bacterial large subunit ribosomal RNA", at positions 1431 to 2925 of the family's 2925-position model. The record is from RNAcentral.
AAAUAUUCCAGCACCUGCUAUAUACUAAAAGUGACGGAGAGCCGUGGUCGCUACGUACUGACGGAUAUGUACGUCUGAGUGGAGUCUUCGGACAAAGCGAAGUGAUAAAAGUUCUUCCAAGAAAAGCGAGUAUAGCAGCCAGUACCGCAAACCGACACAGGUAGACGGGAUGAGUAUUCUAAGGCGCUCGGGUGAGCCGUGGAGAAGGAACUAGGCAAAUUGACGCUGUAACUUCGGGAUAAAGCGUACCGUCUUCGGACGGUCUCAGUAAAAUGGUUCAACCAACUGUUUAACAAAAACACAGGGCCCUGCAAAAUCGAAAGAUGACGUAUAGAGCCUGAUACCUGCCCGGUGCUGGAAGGUUAAGGAAGGGUGUUCGUCGCAAGACAAAGCUCCUGACUGAAGCCCCAGUAAACGGCGGCCGUAACUAUAACGGUCCUAAGGUAGCGAAAUUCCUUGUCGGGUAAGUUCCGACCUGCACGAAUGGUCUAAUGAGUUGAACGCUGUCUCCUCCACGAGCCCGGUGAAAUUGUAGUAUCGGUGAAGAUGCCGGUUACCCGCCACGGGACGGAAAGACCCCGUGAACCUUCACUACAACUUUGCAUUGAUUUUGAAUUACGGAUGUGUAGAAUAGUUGGGACGCUUUGAAGCAUUGCCGCCAGGUAGUGUGGAGCGGUCGUUGAAAUACCAACCUUCUUUGAUUUAGAGUCUAAUCCCUUGCGGGAAACAGUGCAUGGUGGGUAGUUUGACUGGGGUGGUCGCCUCCUAAAGAGUAACGGAGGCUUGCAAAGGUACCCUCAGUACGGUUGGUAAUCGUACGUAGAGCGCAUUAGUAUAAGGGUGCUUGACUGUGAGGCAUACAAGCCGAGCAGGGACGAAAGUCGGCUAAAGUGAUCCGGCGGUUCUGUAUGGAAGGGCCGUCGCUCAAAGGAUAAAAGGUACUCCGGGAUAACAGGCUGAUCUCCCCCAAGAGCUCAUAUCGACGGGGAGGUUUGGCACCUCGAUGUCGGUUCGUCACAUCCUGGGGCUGGAGAAGGUCCCAAGGGUUCGGCUGUUCGCCGAUUAAAGUGGCACGUGAACUGGGUUCAGAACGUCGCAAGACAGUUCGGUCCCUAUCUGUGGUGGGCGCAAGUAAAUUGAGAGAACAUGACCUUAGUACGAGAGGACCGGGUCGUACGUACCGCUGGUGUAUCAGUUGUGCCGCCAGGUGCAAUGCUGAGUAGCUAUGUACGGACAGGAUAAACGCUGAAAGCAUCUAAGCGUGAAACCUAUCUCAAGAUGAAUUUACUUUUAAGGGUCGUCAGAGACUAUGACGUUGAUAGGCUAUAGGUGUAAAACUGGUAACAGUAAAGCCAAGUAGUACUAAUUGCCCGUACGCUUUAAUUA